UGAUUCCCCUAGUAACGGCGAGCGAAGAGGGAAUAGCUCAAAUUUUAAAUCUGUUAGUUUACCUAACCGAGUUGUAAUUUGAAGAAACGUUUUCCGCAUUUUCGAUUAGCCCAAAUCCUUUGGGAUAAGGUAUCAUGGAGGGUGAGAAUCCCGUCCGGCUAAAUCGAAGGUGUUUUACGAUACGUUUUCUAAGAGUCGAGUUGUUUGGGAUUGCAGCUCAAAAUGGGAGGUAAAUUUCUCCUAAGGCUAA
RNAcentral lists this ribosomal RNA (250 nucleotides) under uncultured Glomus. RNAcentral describes it as "partial large subunit ribosomal RNA". It matches the Rfam family "Eukaryotic large subunit ribosomal RNA", at positions 72 to 319 of the family's 3401-position model. Lineage: Eukaryota; Fungi; Glomeromycota; Glomeromycetes; Glomerales; Glomeraceae. The record is from RNAcentral.